CUCUUUCUCGAUUCCGUGGGUGGUGGUGCAUGGCCGUUCUUAGUUGGUGGAGCGAUUUGUCUGGUUAAUUCCGAUAACGAACGAGACUCUGGCAUGCUAACUAGUUACGCGACCCCCGAGCGGUCGGCGUCCCCCAACUUCUUAGAGGGACAAGUGGCGUUCAGCCACCCGAGAUUGAGCAAUAACAGGUCUGUGAUGCCCUUAGAUGUCCGGGGCUGCACGCGCGCUACACUGACUGGCUCAGCGUGUGCCUACCCUACGCCGGCAGGCGCGGGUAACCCGUUGAACCCCAUUCGUGAUGGGGAUCGGGGAUUGCAAUUAUUCCCCAUGAACGAGGAAUUCCCAGUAAGUGCGGGUCAUAAGCUUGCGUUGAUUAAGUCCCUGCCCUUUGUACACACCGCCCGUCGCUACUACCGAUUGGAUGGUUUAGUGAGGCCCUCGGAUCGGCCCCGCCGGGGUCGGCCCACGGCCCUGGCGGAGCGCUGAGAAGACGGUCGAACUUGACUAUCUAGAGGAAGUAAAAGUCGUAACAAGGUUUCGGUAGGUGAACCUGCGGAAGG
RNAcentral lists this ribosomal RNA (560 nucleotides) under Odocoileus virginianus (white-tailed deer). RNAcentral's name for it is "SSU rRNA". It matches the Rfam family "Eukaryotic small subunit ribosomal RNA", at positions 1255 to 1824 of the family's 1831-position model. The record is from RNAcentral. Lineage: Eukaryota; Metazoa; Chordata; Mammalia; Artiodactyla; Cervidae.